RNAcentral lists this ribosomal RNA (499 nucleotides) under uncultured bacterium. RNAcentral describes it as "partial 16S ribosomal RNA". It matches the Rfam family "Bacterial small subunit ribosomal RNA", at positions 899 to 1397 of the family's 1533-position model. The record is from RNAcentral.
ACUCAAAUGAAUUGACGGGGGCCCGCACAAGCGGCGGAGCAUGCGGAUUAAUUCGAUGCAACGCGAAGAACCUUACCAAGGCUUGACAUGCGCGGUGGAAUCCCAGAGAUGGGGUGUCAUUUAGUUGGUCGCGUACAGGUGGUGCAUGGUUGUCGUCAGCUCGUGUCGUGAGAUGUUGGGUUAAGUCCCGCAACGAGCGCAACCCUCGUUCCAUGUUGCCAGCACGUAGUGGUGGGGACUCAUGGGAGACUGCCGGGGUCAACUCGGAGGAAGGUGGGGAUGACGUCAAAUCAUCAUGCCCCUUAUGUCUUGGGCUUCACGCAUGCUACAAUGGCCAGUACAGAGGGCUGCGAUACCGUGAGGUGGAGCGAAUCCCAAAAAGCUGGUCUCAGUUCGGAUCGGGGUCUGCAACUCGACCCCGUGAAGUCGGAGUCGCUAGUAAUCGCAGAUCAGCAACGCUGCGGUGAAUACGUUCCCGGGCCUUGUACACACCGCCCGU